Vespula vulgaris is the source of this 4652-nucleotide RNA transcript. It is a transcript of the gene named protein dead ringer-like, with no coding region annotated. The record is from RefSeq and is a predicted model, not a curated record. The transcript has 6 exons. Lineage: Eukaryota; Metazoa; Arthropoda; Insecta; Hymenoptera; Vespidae.
UUAGAAAUAUUCGAUUAUGGAUUAUCAACGAGUGUCUUCUCGCGUUAAGCUUCGAUGAUCGAGGAAAUCGUUCGUCGUAAAAAAAUAUAUUCUUGUUACUUAUUUAUAUAAAAAAAAAAGUUGAAUGCAGCAUUCGAAUUGAUUGGCCCAAUUGUUUUUCCAAGUUGUUUCGAACUGGAAUGUGCAUCUGGAUCUUUAGAUCAUGCAACAUCGACGAUGACGCCGCGUGGUCAAAGUUCGAGGACCAAUAAUUUCGGCUGUAACACUUAAAGCCGUUACCAUGGUUAUCGAACUGCCUGCACCAAUAAGAAUGGCUAUUGUAUACGUAACGACUCCGUGGCUCCCGCCAAAUUCUGUGAUGGCUGCCGAAAGAAUACCUAUGAGAGCUCCGCAAAGAUCUGUUCAUGUAUUUCAACAACAAUGCGGCUAUGAAGGAAGAUAAGUAAGAUACCAAUGGUACCGUAGCCAACGCUUGUUUACCACCAACUGCCGUUUCCUCGAUAUAAAGUGUCGUCGUGUUGAUCGAGUAGCACCAUCGAUUCGCCAUUUGUGGGAAGAACGAUCCAUGUGACAACGAAAACUACUACCGCCGAGCUCACCUGUGCUGAAUACCUGCGACGAAAACAACUUACGACUGUUAAUUCGGUUCGACCGAGUAACGAGCUUGUUAACGACGGGAUCAUAGACAAAUGCGAGAUCUGUACGGCUGCCCAGCCAAUCUGGAAGAUUACGAUGCUCAGUAUAUAAAAGAACAUGACGAUAGAGUUGGAGGUAUUAGCGAAACCUCCAAAAAUAAUUGGGAAACUUAGGGUGACCAAAACGGAGCCGAUCACGUGCCAUAUUUUUUUCUUGCAGUAACGAUCGACGAGAAAGCCAAAGAUUGGCGUUGUGAAAGCAUCCACGAUUUGACCUUCGAAUAACGUUCUAUGUUAUUAUAAGAUAUUUUAAGAUUUAGGUUUUAUUCAUAAUAUCUUAUUUACCUAACAACAACAAUGUGCCAGCCAUUAUUGGUUCCAAGAGAGAAACCUUUUGUAGGUAUAUUAAAGUAUAAGAGAACCACAUGGCUGCCGUCAGAUCGUUGAAAAUAUGUCCCAAGGCAUAAGCCAAUUUUGUCGACAUGGAUACUUUAUUAUUAUCCAUGCCAAGUAGUCCAGUCUCCAUUUUAGAAUUUUUCUCCAUUUUUCUUCUUUCCGUUUUUCCUUUUCUUUCUUGUUUUCUUUCUUUCUUUCUUUCUUUCUUUCUUUCUUUCUUACUUAUUAAUGCUUUAUCGAUAUAUCAGUUUCGAUCCAAAGAAACGUAGAAAGAACAAUUCGUUUUACUCAUCAUCUUGUCUCUUAUUCGUACUAGAACGAAAGCUAACUAAUUAUAAACGAAAGAAAAUCUGCAUUAAAAAAGAGUAAAUACUCUAAGAAAUAUGUCAUGAGAUAACAAAGGAGAUUAACAUAAAUUAUGAUAAAAUUAUUAUUCUUAAUAACGCAAGGCAGCUGUUACAAGUAUGUUUAAUCUUUUAAAACUGAUUAUUAACGGUAUUAAUACGAUCGAAAGAUUAUUUCUUGAGUAUAAAUUUUCUGAAUAAUUAAAUCGUUUGGGUCUUUAACAUUUGAAGAAAAUUCAAAGAAAAACUACAUCUUGUUAACUACAAUUUUUUUUUUAAAUUAUAUUCUUAAAAGUAAAAUGAAUCUCUUGGAAUUGGUUUUCCUUUCACUGGAAAGACCAGCCCGAAGCUAUUUUCCGUUUAUGGAAGUUCGCGUUUGAAACGAUUUCUUUCUCGAGAUAAGAAAGUUACGGUGUAACUUGGAACGUUGCUUGAUAUAUUUAUGAAACACGGUGACACAACGACCGGAAACGUAAUAUUAAAUUUCAUUUACAAGUGUCCGGUAUAUACGUACUUACAUCUUAAAGAUCGAUAUAUUCUUUGUUUCUCAAUCUCUUAUCUGAAUCGGUAAUUUAAAACGCAAACAACGAAAUAAAUAACAAACUCGUCAUUUCGUGUUCUUCUAUGUUAUUAUAAACAGAACGUUGAAAUCCAUUUUAUAAAUUAUAUUUUGAUUUAAUAUUCGAAAUAAUUUCGUUCGACCGAUUCCGGUCGACCUCUUUUUUUUUUUUUUACGAAUAAAGUAAACAAAGAAAGAAAUAAAUAAACAAAAGUAUUGUACGAAGUUGAUUUUUUUUUUUUUUUUUUUUAAUACGAGUAUCUAUCGCGAAUAGAUAAUGAAGAGAUAGAUAGAAGUCAAACGAGUAUAAUGAUCGAUACGUCGAUAAUAAUAAAUUUAGAAAAAGAAAUAAUAAUUACUGCGUGGGUGGAAAAUUAAAAAAAAACUCGUAGAACGUGUCAACCUGGCAAACGAUGAGCAGCAACUGAUCGGUGCUUCGGUCACCGUUUGCUUUGUAAGAAAAGAGAAAGAAUAUGAGGAAGAAGGGAACAAGUAGUAGUAGGUAGAGGGAGAAAGAGAAGAAGGAGAAGAGAGAAAACGUUUCAAAAGUUCGAGUCGUCCUAUCGUUUGUCAUCUUUGUGGAAACUUACUUGUUAUUGUUUAUAUCGGGUUCAAAGAAUUUCGUCAGUUUCGUUAUCACCUAUACAAAGUACACGACGUCAUUUUGUUUCAAUUAUUUUAUAACAACGAUUUAAUAACAACAAAGUAAUAGAGAGUAAACUUAUUCGUUUCAAGUCGUUUCUUUUUUUUUUUUUUUUUUUUAACGCUAAGAAAGUUUUCUGCAAAAUGGGAUUACGUAGUUUCUAAUCUAAUCUAUGGAAUGACUUAUGAUAAAGAAAUAUGUGAGAAUGUACGAGUGGAAGAAUAAAUGAAAGCAACUUUGACAAGUUGUUGAUCGAUUGAAAAUGUUAUAUUCAUUCGUUCGAUAAUAGUAGAAAGAUAUUGAAAGUAUGAUUUAUAGCAGAAGAAUAAAAAUUAUAUAUAAGAAUGCAUAUAUCAGAUAAAAUGCAAAGCCGAUGAGAACUAAGUGAAAAGUUUUAAUGCUUCGAUGAGUAAUUAAGGAAAUUGUUAGAUGAAUUAAUUUAUUAAGGAUAUAAUUAAGGAUAUAAAUUAGAGUAUAUAAGAAUGUAUAUGCCGGUGAUGUAGAAAACAACGUGGACAUCAAUGGAAGAAUUUCAACGAUAUUAAUUUGCUAUUAUCUUCAAUCGAUAAUUGAUACAAUAGAAGAAUUGAAAUAAAGAAAGAAGAAAAGUAAAAGUAUCUUUGGAAAGUUAACAUAUUAAUGGCAAAAAUUCAAAUAAGAAAUACAUAAGUUGAUAUAAAAUAUAUAAUAAGAAUCUGUAUCAAGGUAACUUGGAAGAGUUAUGAAUUAAUUAAAAACAUUUCAAUGAUCUGUAAUAACUCUUAAUAAGAAUGAUAAGAAUUAGUUCAAUAACAUAGAAAUAAAUAUGUGAUUAUUUUUUAUACGACAAUGAAGAAUGUUAAAGGUUUUCUAGAAUUAUUUUCUCAUGUAUAAGUAUCAACAUUGAAAAUAGUGUCUGUGGUUUAAUUUUCACUCGCAUAAGCAUGCUACAUAUAUAUAUAUAUAUAUAUUUAUGUGGUUACAUACUCAUAUAUACUCCUAAACAUUGUGUGUGUAGUGUAUUGUAUGUGUGUGUGUAUAUAUAUAUAUAUAUAUAUAUAUAUAUAUAUAUAUAUAUAUAUAUAUAUAUAUUGGAUCUAAAGAGACCGUAAUCCGAGAUCGAGAACAUGAAACCGGUGCUUUGGUGAGGGAGAGUACGAAGCAACAAUCGAUACUUGGUUUUUCUAUGGUCUCCUUUACUUCUCAUCUCAUUUACUUGAGUUCGUUAACAUAUUGCAGGUCAGACAUUUUCUCUCUCUUUCAAUCUGUUUUUCUCUCUUUAAUAAUAUUACAAAAUAUUGCAUUAUUUUUAUUUCUAUAUUGUUAUGAAAAUUGUAUUUAUUUUUUAUGAGCUAAAUGUUAAAUUCGUUUGUUCAAAAUAAGGAUUGAAAAAGAGAAUAAAAAAUUGUUAAUAAACAUUACGUUUGCAAUGUGUUAGUAAAAAUUAGAAAUAUAUAUAUAUAUGUAUGUAUGUAUGUGUGUGUGUAUGGAACAUUACUAUAGACAAAUUGAAGUAUUUUUAAUAUAAAAGAUUUAAUUUAUUUGAUUACAAAUUGAAUUUUUGUUUGUUUUAUUUCUUUCUUUUUUUAUAACAAAAGUGUAUAUAACAUUUACGUAUUUAAUAUUCUGAUACACUUAUCUUGAGAUUUGUCUAUGUUGAUUAUUCUACUUAUUAUAUACAAAUUAAAUUAAGUAUACUUGCAUAUUUUAUUAUGUAUAUAUGUAUAUAUAUGUAAGAAAUUUUUACACCGAUGGAAUUAAUCAGUGAGAUCUUUUUUUAAACAUUUUAUCGCCGUGUGAAUUUUUUAACGAGAUAACACGAGAUAUAAUAAUAAUAAUGAUAAAAAAAUUUUGUAAACAAAAGAAAAAAGAAAAGAAACAUAGAAACAUAGAAGAAACAAGUAUUACAUGCAGUCUUAUCAAAAAUGAAUUUAUAUAUAUCUCGAAAGAAAUAGAAUUUCACUCGAAUGUAAUUUCGCAUGAUUUCUCUUAGAUCAUUGAUCUACAAACACAUAUGUUCGAUAAUAUCGAUAAUGGAAGCUUGUGUUAAUAUUGUCGAAUGUGAAUAUGUAUUAGUAAAAGAGAAUAUAAGUAUA